GUGAGGCGGAGCAAAACACAAAACACAGUCUCAGUUCAGAUUGUAGGCUGAAACUCGCCUGUAUGAAGUCGGAAUUGCUAGUAAUCGCGGAUCAGCAUGCCGCGGUGAAUACGUUCCCGGGCCUUGUACACACCGCCCGUCACACCAUGGGAGUCGAUAACACCCGAAGCCUGUAGUCUAACAGCAAUGAGGACGCAGUCGAAGGUGGGAUUGAUAAUUAGGGUGAAGUCGUAACAAGGUAGC
RNAcentral lists this ribosomal RNA (243 nucleotides) under uncultured bacterium. Its description in RNAcentral is "partial 16S ribosomal RNA". It matches the Rfam family "Bacterial small subunit ribosomal RNA", at positions 1257 to 1500 of the family's 1533-position model. The record is from RNAcentral.